AUAAAUCUUCAGGGCGGGGUGAGAGUCCCCACCGGCGGUAUAGCCCGCGAGCCUUAAGUGGUAUGAUUCGGUGUAAUUCCGAAGCCGACAGUAAAGUCUGGAUGAGAGAAGGUAAAG
This 117-nucleotide non-coding RNA is filed under the name Clostridium magnum. RNAcentral's name for it is "FMN sequence". It matches the Rfam family "FMN riboswitch aptamer (RFN element)". From Rfam's summary of the family: The RFN element is a highly conserved domain that is found frequently in the 5'-untranslated regions of prokaryotic mRNAs that encode for flavin mononucleotide (FMN) biosynthesis and transport proteins. This element is a metabolite-dependent riboswitch that directly binds FMN in the absence of proteins. Lineage: Bacteria; Bacillati; Bacillota; Clostridia; Eubacteriales; Clostridiaceae. RNAcentral also lists the same sequence under 1 other name. The record is from RNAcentral.